GGCUCUGAGCUCCUUGGAAGACAAGAAUUUCAUGCUGCAUCUUCAGUACAUAGUGACAAGUCCCACACAUGGGGCAAGUUAGACACUGGAAGCUUUGAGGCUGAGCUACGAGCAGUUGCCCUCCUCCACGCAGCACCAGCAGCAUCACCAUACCUACUCUCAGAGUUUCGGUUGCAUGUAGUGAAAGCAGGGAAGUAUUUGUAUGGAAGGACUGAGUAAAUGGAGUCCUCAGUCAACUUUGUAGCCGAGAACUCCACGCAGGACAAGACAGAGACUUCCUUGUCAUUUGGUGCUUCUGUCAGUGAGUCCACUGUCGUGUCAUCAGCUUCUCAAAGGAUGCCUGGGGUCUGUGGAGAAGUCCCUUAAAGAAGUCUUCAUUCUGAAGAACUAAAACGUCCCCGGAUUCUUCUUCUUGCCUUUGAUUGCUUUGCAGAACUUUGCUGUUGUACAAGGAAUAUUUAUAUGCUGGAUCAUCUUCAAUAUGGCAGAGACUAUAGCAAAUCGAGUGAUAGAAAUAUGAAUAAUAUAAGCAUAUGAUGCCUGCUCUCGAAAAGCUCUUGCUCUUAUGGGAUAGAUGAAAUAAUCUACAGCACACAUCAUGGUCCUUUGCUCAAUCAGGAUCCUAAGGAGAUCAUCAAGUGACCUCAGCCAGAUGUCCUAACAACAGUAAGAUGAUAAGUAGGCAUGGUUUUAUUUUUAUUGUUAUUUAAUUUUUGUCUGUAUUUUCUUGAAGUUUUCUUGAUUUCCAGCAUUUCAGAUGUACAGCAAAAUGAUUCAGUUAUCAACAUAAAUAUAUAUGUGUAUAUAUUCAUAUAUUUUCAGAUUAUUUUCCAUCAUAGGAAACUAUAUACAGUCUACUAGGACAGACCAUGAUGGGAAAUAACAUAAAAUAGAAUAAAGGUUUUACAAUAGGUUUCAGGGAACACUUGGUAGUAUCUGUAGAUAUUUUUGCUUGUUAUGGCUUGGAGGGUGAAAGUGCUACUGGCAUCUGGUGAGUUGGAACCAUGGAUGCUACUAAACAUUCAUGGGAUAUCACCCCAAAAUAAUCAUCCAGCUCACAGUGUCAGCAGAGCUGAGGUGAGAACCCCUGCUCCACAUGGAACAAUGCAGCAAAUUCAAAGCUUAGAGUAUCAUACCCUUUCAAACCCCAGGGCUGAAGAGUUUCUGGGCUCCCCUCAAACGACCUUGGGGACACAGCCUCCUGCUAGCUGGGGAACUCAUAAACUACACCUUCUCUAGCAUGGACCAGGGGGCUCUUUCUGGCAGUGGAAACCUUUGCUCUGAACCGAGAUUGAAAUCCUGAGAUUCAGCAAGUGGUGAAUUGAAUUUUGAAGAAUGAUGGGUAAGGAGAGGAACAUUCUUCAAAAACAGCAAAAAGGAAUGGCUAUUGCUGCUUUGACCUCAGGAAGACCUGCUUUUCUCUGUCUUCCCAUGGUUCCUGAUCACUGCUUAGAUUAAUUUAGCAUCCUCAUCCGUACUGAAAUAUUAAUAACUAACAUGGUAAAGCCUUUAUACAAUGACUGAUUUUUAGUAACAUUCUUUAUCAUAAAAUAAAAGCUUAAUAUAAAAAAGAUGGGCAGAUAAUGUUUUAAAAGUUAAAAAUCUAAAAGAAGAGGGAAAAAGAAGUUAUAAUUCCACUACGCAGAAAUAACUGCUGAUAAUAGUUUGGCAGGUGUGCAUGUUUGUGUGUAUAAAGGUAACAGUGUAACAUGAACGUUCUCUCAUAUGGAUAAAAUUUUGAAAACCGUGGCAUACUAUUCCAUCUUAUGGCAAUGUUGUUGCUUUUAAGAUUCUUCCAAGUUUUCAUCACUGACUUUGAUGACAUCCACAUCACUGAUCAGUUGUGAGAAUAAAAGGAGAGAGCAUUUACUCAAAAGACAUGAAUGAGGUAUUUUCUAUGUACCAAACAUUGUGCUAGGUACUUUAAGAGAUGCAUAAAACAUGAUUUUUUUUCUUUUUUUUAAAGUUUUGUUGAAGUAUAGUUGAUUUACAAGGUGGUGAUGAUUUCUGCUAUACAACAAAGUGAUUCAGUCACACAUGUGUACACAUCCACAGUUUUCAAGAUGAAGCAAAUAGCAGAGAGUGUGGGCAGAGAGAAAAUGAGAAGUUGGUACCCGCUGCCAAGGAGGGCCCUGGGAAUCACCUGCUUCGGUGGUGAACAUAGCAAUGAGACCAUCUGUGGGGUCCUCCCUCUAAUCCAGAAACUUCUUCUCUCACUAAACCCCACUCCCUGCCCAUCCAAAUGUUGUGUGGGCCUCUAAAUCCUUGCACUGAACACUAUCCUACUUGGGUUUUGUACAGUCUUCUAGUGAUGUCAUGUUAAAUGACCAUAGACUGGGUAACUUACAUGACAGAUUUAUUUCUCACAGUUCUGGAAGCUGGGAAGUUCAAGAUCAAUGACUCAGUCAAUUUGGUUCCAAUGAGAUCUUUCCUUCUAGCUUUCAGGCGGCCACCUUCAAUACCAUCGUGAGGGCUCCACCCUCAUGACUUCAUCAAUGCUUAAUUACUUCCCAAAGACCCCACCACCAAAAUCAUCACUUUGGGAGUUAGGGCUUGAACAUGUAAUUUGGCGGAGGGGGCACAAUUCAGUGCAUAAGCACAGUGUAUUUCUUUUGGGGUCAGUAAAAUCUUAGUUUUAUCAUAUACAAAAAUGCAUUCACACUCAGUGGAGACAAUACGCUAUCAAUUUAGUGUCUUUGUUCCCUUUAUCACCUCAUUUAUUGAUAUGGGUCAUGCUAUAUGUGUUAAAUGGAAUAUGUUACGCUUUAACAUUAAUUUACAUGUUUAUGCCACAACAUUUACGAUUUCCUGUUCUACGCUGGUGGCUGUGGCUAGCGGCAGAGAGUAAAUGGUAAAAUGUAACCAAUCCAGAUCUGGGAUCUGACCUUACAGAGCUCAGCGGCGACUGUAAAUUGAAGUUCCUUUCCAGAUUCCCCUAUAAUGCAAAUGCUCUAGUGUAUAUUAUUUACAUCUAACUCUGCACACAACUGGCAUCUUUAAGACUCUUGUGUGCAUGUGUAUCAACAAGCUAGCAUGCACCUUCUAGUUUCUGUCAUGCACUGACGGUCUGUUAAAAUGGUUAAGACAGUCGCUUCCUGGGGAAUGGGAUCCCUGUCACGGGAGUCUUUAUACUCCCUGCACUUUUCACACGCAGUCCAAUGCAUAAUAGACAUUCCAUCAUGUUGACUGAGUAAGUGAUGCCCCCUUUGGUUGUCAUAAUAAGCAUCUGAGGAAGGUUCUGAUAUUCCUGACUCAGUAAGAUCAGGCUGCCGUAACAAAGUACCAUAGACUGUGUGGUCUAAACAGGAGAGAUUCUUUCUCUCACAGUUCUGGAGACGGAGGUGACAGCAUGGUCUUCUUCUUCUUCUUUUUUUUUUUUGGUCUUUGUGGGCCACACCUGAGGCACAUGGCGGGAUCCGAGCUGCACCUGUGACCUACAAUACAGCUCACAGCAACACCAGAUCCUUAAGCCACUGAGCAAGGCCAGGGAUCGAACCUGUGUCCUCAUGGAUACUAGUCAGAUUCGUUUCUGCUGAGCCAUGACAGGAACUCCUUAUUCUUCUGAUGAAGGCCCUCUUCCUGGUUUUUGCCUUUAGCCAUCUUCUCACUGUGUCCUCCCAUGGCAGAGAAGGAGGCAGGAGGAGCUCUGGUGUACUGGGCACUGAUGCUAUUGGAUGGGAGAUCUACUCUUAUGACCUUAUUUAAUCUGAAGUAGUUCAGCAAAGGCCUUACCUUCAGAUAUAAUCACAUAGAGAGUUAAGCCUUCAACGGAGGAAUCUGGGGAGGACACAAACAUUCAGUCCAUAGCAAUUCCCAUUUUACAGAUAAGAAAUCUAGAUGUGACAGGAUGUCACCUGCGCUUUGUCCCGAGGCUGACUCCCUCUGAUUGGUAGUGGCUGCAGGAAUCCUGGGAGGGGCAGGAUCCUGGAGGCAUACCUGGGCUCACAAAAGAGCUGACUGGGCAUGGAUGCGGAAGCAUGUGUGUGUGUGAGCAUGAAGCAAGAACCAUCCACGUGUGCACAAAAUUGCCAUCACUAUGCUUGGCACUACACAGCAUUAGCUUAAUUUUUAAUACUUAUAACCUGCAAGGGAAGCACAUUUCCCCCCCAUUUUACAAGGACUGACUUACAGCUAGAGAAUUUAAAUAUUUUACCAGAGGGCUAUUAAAGGUAGAGCUUCUAU
This 4182-nucleotide long non-coding RNA is filed under the name Sus scrofa (pig). RNAcentral's name for it is "lncRNA (ENSSSCG00055019526.1)". Lineage: Eukaryota; Metazoa; Chordata; Mammalia; Artiodactyla; Suidae. The record is from RNAcentral.